RNAcentral lists this long non-coding RNA (746 nucleotides) under Homo sapiens (human). RNAcentral describes it as "HSALNT0054120". The record is from RNAcentral. Lineage: Eukaryota; Metazoa; Chordata; Mammalia; Primates; Hominidae.
UUGCAGGGAGCCGAGAUCGCGCCAGUGCACUCCAGCCCAGGCGAGGGAGCGAGACUCCAUCAAAAAUAAAUAAAUAAAUAAAUAAGCCAAAAGAUACACUCCUGAAAGAGGUUACUCCUACGUUAAAAUGUGAAAGGUUUCAAGGUACCCCGGAGUGUGAGGAGGGUGGAGAGAACAGGCCAGCCUGGGGUGCCCAAGACGGACUUGGUCCAAGCCAAUUUGGCUCUGUCCUGCUUCUAACAGUUCUAUUAGAGAUCACAAGGAGGAAGAGUAAGAAGAACAGCAGCGUUCAAUACAAUGUGCCAAUUGCUCCGGGGCGAGGUGGCGGUUAGGAAGCUCGCCCAUGAAGACGGCGGCGAAACGAACUCCCCUCUCCUCUCGGGCCUAUUCUGCAGUCUCCUCUGAGCGCCUGGGACCCCCCACCCCAGUGAACAUGCACAGCGCGCCACAGUUCACGUCCGCGAAUAUAACCCAACCCCACUGUCGGCCAUGCUUCCCAGGUACUUUUUUUUUUUUUUUUUGAGGUGGAGUCCCGCUCUGUCGCCCAGGCUGGAGUGCGGUGGCGAGAUCUCGGGUCACUGCAACCUCCGCCUCCCGGGUUCAAGCAAUUCUCCUGUCUCAGCCUCCCGAGUAGCUGAGGCAGGAGAAUCAUUUGAACCCGGGAGGCAGAGGUUGCAUGAGCUGAGAUCACACUACUGCACUCCAGCCUGGGGGACAGAGCGGGACUGCCUCAAAAAAAAAAAAAA